GGAGGCGUACCCAAGUUGGCUGAAGGGGACUGACUCGAAAUCAGUUAGGGCGUCGUUCGGCGCCGCGGGGGUUCGAAUCCUCUCGCCUCCGCCA
Molecule: transfer RNA, 94 nt
Filed under: Sporolactobacillus nakayamae
Lineage: Bacteria; Bacillati; Bacillota; Bacilli; Caryophanales; Sporolactobacillaceae
Also listed under: 1 other name
Description: tRNA_Ser_CGA
Rfam family: tRNA
About the family: Transfer RNA (tRNA) molecules are approximately 80 nucleotides in length.
Source: RNAcentral